CCAUCUAUAAAUGGAUAAGACUUUUGUCUUAAUGUAUUAAGAAUCGUUGAAGGAGCCCAUAUCCAAUAUCUUGUUUUUUUAAGAUUAAGAUAUUGGAUACGGCUCCUUCUUUCUCUUUCUUUCAUACAUAUAUGUUGAGCUAAAACUUUGACUUCUCUGCCCGAAUUCGAGUUCUUUUUCUUUAUCAUGAGUUCCUUUCCCCGCCAAUGAAUGAUAAUUAUCUAUUUUUUUUUAUUCCAAAUUAACGACGAGAUUUAUUAUCGUUUCUCGCAUGUCUCGCGAAAGUCAGAGUAGGCGCGAAUUCUCCCAAUUUGUGACCUACCAUACGAUCUGUUAUAUAAAUAGGUAAAUGUUCCUUUCCAUUAUGAAUAGCGAUUGUAUGGCCAAUCAUUUUGGGUAUAAUGGUAGAUGCCCGAGACCAAGUUACUAUUAUUUCUUUCUCCUCCCUCAUGUUGAGUUUUUCAAUUUUUUUCGAUAAAUGAUUAGCUACAAAAGGAUUUUUUUUUAGUGAACGUGUCACAGCCGAUUACUCCUUUUUUUACAUUUUAAAGAUUGCCACUCUAUGCCCAAUAGAAUAUCUCGAUCUAAGUAUUAAGGUAAGAAUAAAUACAAUAAUGAUGAAUGGAAAAAAGAGAAAMUCCUUUAGAUACAUUACAUAAGGGGCGGAUGUAGCCAAGUGGAUCAAGGCAGUGGAUUGUGAAUCCACCAUGCGCGCC
This 716-nucleotide unclassified non-coding RNA is filed under the name Sowerbaea juncea. RNAcentral's name for it is "partial miscellaneous RNA". Lineage: Eukaryota; Viridiplantae; Streptophyta; Magnoliopsida; Asparagales; Asparagaceae. The record is from RNAcentral.